RNAcentral lists this ribosomal RNA (433 nucleotides) under uncultured bacterium. RNAcentral describes it as "partial 16S ribosomal RNA". It matches the Rfam family "Bacterial small subunit ribosomal RNA", at positions 30 to 507 of the family's 1533-position model. The record is from RNAcentral.
AGCGAACGCUGGCGGCAGGCUUAACACAUGCAAGUCGAGCGGACAUUCCGGGGUCAGCGGCGGACGGGUGAGUAACGCGUGGGAAGGUGCCUUCCGGUUCGGAAUACCCCUGGGAAACUAGGGCUAAUACCGGAAACGCCCUUCUGGGGAAGGGUAUACUGCCGGAGGUUCGGCCGGGGUCUGCUUCGCUUGUUGGGGGGGUAAGGGCCUACCACGGCGAGGAUCAGUAGCGGGUCGGAGAGGAGGGGCCGCCACGCUGGGACUGGGACACGGCCCAGACUCCUAGGGGAGGCGGGAGUGGGGGAUAUUGGAAAAUCGGCGCGAGGCUGAUGCAGCCAUGCCGGGUGAGUGCUGAAGGCGUUAGGGAUGUAAAGCUCUUUUAUCCGGGGCGGUAAUGACGGUACCGGAGGAAUAAGCCCCGGCUAACUUCGUG